AAAAUCAGCCUAUUUCUCAUUCAUGUGGCCGGCCAAAGAAGAACAAAGGAAGAAAAGAAAAAACAAGAACCCUAGGUGGAGAAUUUCAAGAGAAAAAGUGUGAAAAAUCAAGGAAAACAAGUGAAAAAGGUAGGAUUUCUUAAUUUAAACUUGAAAUCUAUUUUCCUUAAACAUUUCUCCUUAUUUUUCAUGGUUAAAUUUCAUGUUUUCAUGGUGAAUUCAUGGCUAGCCGAAUGGGUAUGGAGAGAGAAUGAUGUUGGAUUGAUUUGAUUUCAAGUUAUGUUAGUGUUUUUAGUUAGUUUACCAUGUCUAUAAGCAAAACAACAAGAAAAUAAUUCAUUUUCCCCAUCACCCAUCAAUGGCCGAAGCUACCUUGUAUUGAGGGAGGAUGAAUUUGAUUUUUUAUUUUAAGAGAAUUGGUUAGAAAAUGAUGAAUUAUGGUGUGAAAAAGUAGUAGGAAAAAUCACGAUGUUCAUGCACCAUUAUUGACCAAAAAUUCUAACAAGAAAAGUGAAGAUGGUUUUGCCAAAUUUUAGGUUAUUUGAAUUGUGUUUGGUGAAUUAAGGUAUUGGAAAAGAAAUGGAGCAAUUUGGAGCUAAAUUGAACGCGUUGACCAAUUAAUUGGGUGAUAAGACGAAUUAGGCCAAUACUUGGUUUAGAUGGUUACCUGUGUAUUUUGCAUUACAUAUCAUGCAUUAGUAGUCUAAAUUAGUUUAAUUUCGAUUUAGUACCAAUGUAGUAAGUUUCUCGAUUUUGUACUAUGUCAAGGUGGUGAGUCAUCCGAUAAAGGUAAGGAAAUUGCAUUCGAGGACCAUAGUUAGAAUACUUCAAAAAUCCGCACUCUAGACAUUGUGAGUAACCUUACUAUCGUCUUAAUUAUCUAGAGUGGUUUUUAUCCGAUUUUGUGAUUUUAUGGAAAAUGAGUUUAAAUGGUAAAUUUUUAGGUUUUAUAAACAAAAAAUGUGUUUAAAUAAAAUGAUUUUAUAAAUUAUCUUGAAAUUGAAUGAUGGCUUUGCAAAUAGAGUAAUUGGAGACCAUUUGAUGUAUUGUGAAUUAUAUGGUUCUAAUUGAUUGGCUUAUGACAAUAUUGGCAUGAAUUGUUGAAUUGGUAUUUGUGUUGAAAUGUAUAAACUGUUGUUUGCCUUGAUAAGCUGGAUAAUGAUAAAAUUGUCAUAUCAUGUUGUUGAAUUUUUAUUGUAUGGUGGGUUUAGCUUGCUGCAGUGGGCUGGUUCUGUGGACCAACUUAUUAGAGGGGCACAUAACCUGGUCAUAUAUAUGUACCUCGAUUGAAGAGGCGCGUAGGGUAACUCCUGAGGUCAAACUUUAGAGUUCACUUCAGGUCAAACCACCACGUGAGGGGGAACUCAGCCAACGCUAAGGAACGACUAUGUUUUCAAAAUAAAAACAUGAUUUAUGCGUACAUGACUUUUUAACAGCCUUGGCGGACUCGGUUGGGAUAGCCCUCGAUCAAGGCAUCCCUGAUAACUGGGUAUGAGAAUGAUUUUGACACGAGCCAAAGUUUUAAGAAAUUCAUAAGCCAUGUUGAUUACUCGAUUUAUAUGAAUUGAUUUUAUUUGGUUGAAACAAGUUGAAAGGUGAUGAAUUUCAGUAUGUUAAACUGUUUUAUUUGUGUCCAUUUACUCGGCUUUAGAUAUUUUAGAUGGUAUUUGUUUACUCACUGGGAUUAUAUAAUCUCACCACCUUUCUUUUCACCCUUUUCAGGCUCAGGAUAGUCGGCAGAUAGCUCACUUUGUUGAGGGCUACAAUUGGACUUGCAUCCUAAAAAACUGUAAGUUUACUGCUUUUAAUACUUUUGGUCGUUCGUGGGCCCAUUUGUUACUGUAAAUUAAAUUAAAUACUCCGGCUUACUGUAUUACAAUAUAUAUGAAUUUAUUUUGCUUUUACACUGGAAAAAUUAUUUAUACAGUGUUAUAAAAAUAUUAUUUUAUGAGAAAAUUGAAUAUUUUAUUUAAUAUUUUUAUUUUAUUCUAAUAGUCAUAAUUUCAUUUUAAACGAAUGUUUUAGACAUCCAAAUUUAUUUUUGAUUAUGAAAUAUGUGUUUUACACCCGUAUACUACAUUAUUAGCUAGUUUCAAAAUUUUCAAGAAAAAAUGACCAAAAUGCCCCUAUGAGAAAAAAAUUAUUUUUUUCUAUUGUUUUGAUUUGAAAAAUAUUUAUAAUGUCUCAAAACAUAAUUUUAGUGACUAAUACUCACAGGGGAAGCGAGAAAAACUGAUGUUAAGCCUUGCGAGGUUUCGAUUGAUAUUUCGAGUAAUGAAUGUCUAUCAGGACGUCGUGGCAGUUGUCAUGGGCUCGAUGGGAGUUCCGGAUCGUGACAUAUAUAAUCGCCCUCUUUGCUGAAAAUAGCGGCAGCAUCUCUAAAAAAUCCUAGAAAAACCCUAACAAUUAGAGAGAAAAACCUAGCCACAGCAAAACCAAAGAAAAAAUGAAGAAAUACCUUUGGAAAUCUAGCAGACAAAAUAAUAAUUAGAAAAAAAAACAAAAAAAUAAAAAAAGAGAGUGUUGGAAGAGUAAUAGAAAAAUGAAAAUAGGAAAAAGGGUAAGUUAGUUUUUUUUCGAUUUUCCUCUUUUCUUUUUGUUUGGAGAGUUUAGGGUUUCAUAAUUGGUUUUUUAAAGGGGGGUAGAUCAAAGGUUGAAAAGGGAAUGGUAAAUAGGAAAAGAGUUGAAAGGCUUGGGUUUCACUUUUUCGGUCAUCAGUGGAGAAAAAGAGAAGAAAGGUUGUAGUUUUUGAGGGUUUAGAGAGAAGUGGGAGGAACGACAUUUAGAGAAAAAAAUUGAGUGGAGAAAUGGGAAGAGAGGAAAGAAAAGAAGUUUAUAUCCUACUGUUAGGUAAGGAUAAAAUGGCUCCAUUUUGAAGAGAUUAGAUUUGUUCCAAACGACGUAGCUUUUAAGGUUGGAAUGGUGGUGGUUUAAGCACCAAAACGGUGCACUUUGGGAGCAAGAUCCGCAAGCCGUAGAGAAACGAGUCGAUUGAAGCGGGCUGGCUGUUUGGGUCAAUUUGGCCCAUAAAGGUAAACCAUUUACCAUUUUUCUCAUAUCUGUUGUGAUUUGGGCUGGUUCAUUUUGUUAGUCCUUAGGAUUAUUGUUUAAUUAUGUAGGAUUAGGAUUAGAUUAUUUUAGCAUAAUGUUCUAAAAAUUCUAAGAUAUUAUUUUUAGGUUUAGGAAAAAAAUACCAAAAGAAAAGUAUAAAACACACACACACACACACACACACACACACACACACACAUAUAUAUAUAUAUAUAUAUAUAUAUAUAUAUAUAAAUAAUAAUAAUAAUAAAAAUGUUUAGGUAUGAAAUGAAUUUAAAUGUAGGAGAAUAUUUACUUAAGGGUAUUUAAACUUAGAUAAAUGAAGCAUAUAUGCAAAACAAAAAAUAAAUUGCUUAAUGAAAUAUUUUUCAAGAUAGAUAGAUAGAUAAAUAAAAAUAUAUAAAAAUAUAAAUGAAUGAAGCAAAUAGGUGAUUGGUUAAAAAAUAUAUAUACAGAUUAAAUUAAGUAAAAAAAUUAGAAAUUAUUGAGUUGUUGGUGGGGUAUACUUGGGUGAAAAUAUAUAAAGGAAUAUGUAGAAUAUGUAUAUACAUUGGAUUAUAAAAAUAUGUUUAGUGAAUGAGCAUAAAAAAAAAGGAAGAAAGAAAUACUUAAUAUUUAAUAUUAAAAGAUAGUAAAGUUAGUCAAAUAAUUAUAAUAACAUAUGCAUUAGAAUCAACCUUAGAAAAUUGAAUCCUAAGACACCAUAAAAUUAAUUAUAAGAAUAAUGUAUAAAUUGUACCGAUGAUGGUAUGUUCAUCCGAAACGCGAGGAGUUGCAAUUCUGGAUGAAUUUUUCCUAAGCCUAAGAUCCAAAUUAAGACUCCAUUAGUACGAUGGGAGUGUCUCAAUUUUAAAAUUAUGAGAUUUCUAAGUUUAAAUAAACUAAAAUUAUUAUAUAAUAAUUUAGUCAAAAUAUAAAUACAAAUAUAAUAAAUAGAAAAGAAUAGAUGACAUUUACUCAUUUAAGUUGUCAAAAGAUAAAUAUAAAAUUGUAAAAAUAAUAAUACUCAUGACAAUAAAUAAAUAGAUAAAUAAGUGAAAUAUUCAAUGAUGGGAAAUUCAUAAUAAUGAAUAUGUUUAAAGUAUAAAAGUUAAAUAUUUAGUUAUGUAAAAUAUAUAUAGUGAUAAAUUUAUAAGUGUUAUAAAAAGGGAAUAGGAUAGAUAAUAAAAAGAGAAAAAAAUGGAAUAUAAAUAUAUAUNAAUCAUAUAUAUAAUAUAUAUAUAUAUAUAUAUAUAUAUAUAUAAUUAUGAAAUAAGAUAUCUUGCUUAAAGGCUAUAGAGUUUGAGUAAAAUGAAAAUUUAUAUAGUAAAAUAGAUAUAUUCUAAAUAACAUAGAAAAAUAUAUGAUUCAUAAUAUAUAUAUUUAUAACAAGAAACGAUAAAAAAGGAAAACCUUAAAGAAAUAGCAAAGAAGAUAUAGAAGGACUUAGAAACAAAAUAAUAGAUUUCAUAAGCAUAUUACACAUCACUAUUGCAUCGUAAAUGUCAUGGCAUGUAAAUAUUUAUGUAAAUGAGUAUAAGUCCAGAUGAUGAGAGUUUCCUAAGGAUCUUGCGAAGGUGAGUUUCUGUCAAAAAAUUCUCUAGAUGAAAGGAUAUGCUCGGGUCCCACCAGUACGAUGGGAGGGUUCGUGAAAUAUCUUUAAUAAAAAGGCUUUUACUCGUAAAAGGUU
This 4720-nucleotide long non-coding RNA is filed under the name Theobroma cacao (cacao). RNAcentral describes it as "long non-coding RNA (TCAC_LNC000803)". The record is from RNAcentral. Lineage: Eukaryota; Viridiplantae; Streptophyta; Magnoliopsida; Malvales; Malvaceae.